UGAACUGCAGGACACAUGAACACCGAUAAGUUGAACGCAUAUUGCACGUCGUGCGACAUAGCAUGGCGUACACAUUUUUGAGCGCCC
This 87-nucleotide ribosomal RNA is filed under the name Anopheles pseudopunctipennis. RNAcentral describes it as "partial 5.8S ribosomal RNA". It matches the Rfam family "5.8S ribosomal RNA", at positions 68 to 154 of the family's 154-position model. From Rfam's summary of the family: 5.8S ribosomal RNA (5.8S rRNA) is a component of the large subunit of the eukaryotic ribosome. It is transcribed by RNA polymerase I as part of the 45S precursor that also contains 18S and 28S rRNA. The record is from RNAcentral. Lineage: Eukaryota; Metazoa; Arthropoda; Insecta; Diptera; Culicidae.